Long non-coding RNA from Dreissena polymorpha, 532 nucleotides. RefSeq lists it as uncharacterized. The record is from RefSeq and is a predicted model, not a curated record. The transcript is spliced from 3 exons. NCBI's taxonomy places the organism in Eukaryota, Metazoa, Mollusca, Bivalvia, Myida, Dreissenidae.
ACUAAUUAGUGUUAACUGUUCUGUGGUCAUAAAGCACACUCCCCUGUCAGGCUGACAACAGCCUGCUUGGCGAUAAUAAAUGAACCCAGGUGUUAUAUCUGGCCAAAUCUGAAUAUGCUGCAACAUGUUUCAGAGAGUUAUCGACCAGUGUAAUUAUCAGUUGUGCCAAAUAUUCAUAGCCAAUACAACAUUUAUUUUGAUAUUUUAUAUUUAUAAAACAGAUUGAGAACCAAAAUGACUUUUCAUAUUCCAUCACUGAGAAAGAAACAUGAUGUUUAAUGAACCAGUGCACAGAUGGAUAAUAUGUUUGAAGUAGAUCAAUGCAAAAUUCAUGUUGAUAAGACUUUAAGUUGGGACAUUUUGGUAUUUAAUAUUUAUCAACCACAGGAUACUACAUCUAAUUAAUUCAUUUAAUUAUAUAAUUUAAGUUCAACACUCCACUAGCAAAUAUCAUGCUGGAUACUCAUGCUGAUAGUCCUGUAAAGUUGUUUAUUAAAAAAAUUGUUUUUUUAACUUACUGAUUAGUAACAUG